AAACCGUUCAGGGGUAAACCUGUGAAACCCAAAAGAUCGAAUGAGGAGAUUCAUCGUCAGCGUAUUCAGUAUUAAUGCAGGCUAUGAUGUGAUAAUAGAAUCCUUGUGGUCACUAGAUUAUACUUGCUUGUAUUAUUUUUGCUGGGUAUGUCGGCGUGCACUUCUCCUCUAGUAGAACGUCGCAACCCGUUGGAUGUUUAUCUAUGGCCUGAUUUGUAGCCUUUGAUAUNUUAUUAUAUUGAAGACCUAUUGGUGUCCUGAUAAACUGUCUGACGGUACACANAUAAUAGUAUUGAGCCGCAAUUAUUUGCGUUAGACUUGCCGCAAGUAAGGCUUUAUUCUGGUAGUGCGGAUUUAAUGCCGUCGCUGGNAAAAAGUCUGCUGUUAGCUGUGUAAUGUCUUUAACUGGCUUAUUUACUGGUUAGCGAUGCUACUGCUUUGGGUACUUA
RNAcentral lists this ribosomal RNA (449 nucleotides) under Apanteles sp. Rodriguez10. RNAcentral describes it as "partial 28S ribosomal RNA". The record is from RNAcentral. Lineage: Eukaryota; Metazoa; Arthropoda; Insecta; Hymenoptera; Braconidae.